RNAcentral lists this ribosomal RNA (495 nucleotides) under uncultured bacterium. Its description in RNAcentral is "partial 16S ribosomal RNA". It matches the Rfam family "Bacterial small subunit ribosomal RNA", at positions 28 to 507 of the family's 1533-position model. The record is from RNAcentral.
GACGAACGCUGGCGGCGUGCCUAAUACAUGCAAGUAGAACGCUGAAGGAGGAGCUUGCUCUUCUGGAUGAGUUGCGAACGGGUGAGUAACGCGUAGGUAACCUGCCUUGUAGCGGGGGAUAACUAUUGGAAACGAUAGCUAAUACCGCAUAACAGUAGAUGUUGCAUGACAUUUGCUUAAAAGGUGCAAUUGCAUCACUACCAGAUGGACCUGCGUUGUAUUAGCUAGUUGGUGGGGUAACGGCUCACCAAGGCGACGAUACAUAGCCGACCUGAGAGGGUGAUCGGCCAGACUGGGACUGAGACACGGCCCAGACUCCUACGGGAGGCAGCAGUAGGGAAUCUUCGGCAAUGGGCGGAAGUCUGACCGAGCAACGCCGCGUGAGUGAAGAAGGUUUUCGGAUCGUAGAGCUCUGUUGUAAGAGAAGAAUGAGUGUGAGAGUGGAAAGUUCACACUGUGACGGUAUCUGACCAGAAAGGGACGGCUAACUACGUG